This 507-nucleotide long non-coding RNA is filed under the name Cicer arietinum (chickpea). Its description in RNAcentral is "long non-coding RNA (CARI_LNC002105)". Lineage: Eukaryota; Viridiplantae; Streptophyta; Magnoliopsida; Fabales; Fabaceae. The record is from RNAcentral.
AAUUAAGUUUGAUUAACUGAUUUGUUUUGAAUAUAUGAUUCAAUUUAUAAACUAUUUAAUUGAUUUAAUUUUUAUUACAAUCUAAUUUAUCGAUACGGUUCAAUUGACUAUAAAUUUUGUCCCAUAUACCACAAUUAAAAAAACUAAAGGAGAUCUACCAAGACAAACUUCGACCUCCUCAAGAUGAAAACAUACUACCAACACCCCCACCAUGCAAAGAUAUUAUGCUGCACCAAAAACCUCCAACAUAUACAUAAAAACCAUCACUAAACAUCCAGCUAAUUCAUGACAGUAGCACUCCUAUCAUGAGACCCAAUGACACAUUCAUACAAGCAAAUUUUUGAAGGAGUUAUGUAUCAAACCCGACAACAAUAUUUUGUAAAAGGAUUGAAAAAAUAUGAUAUUUCAUUUUCACAAUUUAAAGCAUAUGCAUUUUCCCGCAAUUGAUUUGGCAAGCUCAAAUUGAAAAAACAUUCAAAACAACCAUAGCAAAACAAAGUCUUAAAU